This 261-nucleotide ribosomal RNA is filed under the name uncultured archaeon. RNAcentral describes it as "partial 16S ribosomal RNA". It matches the Rfam family "Archaeal small subunit ribosomal RNA", at positions 748 to 1009 of the family's 1478-position model. The record is from RNAcentral.
UAGCCGUAAACGAUACUCGUUAGGUGUCGGCCACGGUGCGACCGUUGUCGGUGCCGUAGGGAAGCCGUGAAGCGAGCCACCUGGGAAGUACGGCCGCAAGGCUGAAACUUAAAGGAAUUGGCGGGGGAGCACCACAACGGGUGGAGCUUGCGGUUUAAUUGGAUUCAACGCCGGAAAUCUUACCGGGACCGACAGCAACAUGAAGGCCAGGCUGAAGACUUUGCCGGAUUAGCUGAGAGGUGGUGCAUGGCGUAGUCGUGU